ACUCAAAUGAAUUGACGGGAGAGCGCACAACCAGUGGAGCAUGUGGUUCAAUUCGAGACGAACCGAAGAACCUUACCAGGGUUUGACAUGUUAUCGUGUUAGGUCUGCAGAAACGUGGACUGAUCUUAUUGAAAAAUGAGAUGAUAACACAGGUGUUGCAUGGCUGUCGUCAGCUCGUGCCGUGGGGUGUUCCCUUCAGUGGGGUAACGAGCGCAACCCCCGUCCCGUAUUAAAUAUUUACGGGAGACUUUUCAUCCUUGUGAUGGAAGGAAGUGGGGACGACGUCAAGUCAGCAUGGCCCUUAUGUCCUGGGCUACACACAUGCUACAAUGAAGCCGACAAUGGGUUGCCAAGUCGUAAGACGGAGCUAAUCCCAUCAAACGGCUUCUCAGUGGGGAUCGAGGGCUGCAACUUGCCCUCGUGAACGCGGAAUUGGUAGUAAUCGGAAAUCAGCUAUGUUCCGGUGAAUACGUUCUCGCUCUUUGUACACACCGCCCGU
This 499-nucleotide ribosomal RNA is filed under the name uncultured bacterium. RNAcentral describes it as "partial 16S ribosomal RNA". It matches the Rfam family "Bacterial small subunit ribosomal RNA", at positions 899 to 1397 of the family's 1533-position model. The record is from RNAcentral.